GAACUUAAGCAUAUCAAUAAGCGGAGGAAAAGAAACCAACAGGGAUUGCCCUAGUAACGGCGAGUGAAGCGGCAACAGCUCAAAUUUGAAAUCUGGCGCUUUCAGCGUCCGAGUUGUAAUUUGCAGAGGGCGCUUUGGCGUUGGCAGCGGUCCAAGUUCCUUGGAACAGGUCGUCACAGAGGGUGAGAAUCCCGUACGUGGCCGCAUGUCUUCGCCGUGUAAAGCCCCUUCGACGAGUCGAGUUGUUUGGGAAUGCAGCUCUAAAUGGGAGGUAAAUUUCUUCUAAAGCUAAAUACUGGCCAGAGACCGAUAGCGCACAAGUAGAGUGAUCGAAAGAUGAAAAGCACUUUGGAAAGAGAGUCAAACAGCACGUGAAAUUGUUGAAAGGGAAGCGCUUGCAGCCAGACUUGCCUGCCGUUGCUCAUCCGGGCUUUUGCCCGGUGCAUUCUUCGGUAGGCAGGCCAGCAUCAGUUUGGGCGGUGGGAUAAAGGUCUCUGUCACGUACCUCCUUUCGGGGAGGCCUUAUAGGGGAGACGUCAUGCCACCAGCCUGGACUGAGGUCCGCGCAUCUGCUAGGAUGCUGGCGUAAUGGCUGUAAGCGGCCCGUCUUGAAACACGGACCAAGGAGUCUAACAUCUAUGCGAGUGUUUGGGUGUCAAGCCCAAGCGCGUAAUGAAAGUGAACGGAGGUGGGACCCCGCAAGGGUGCACCAUCGACCGAUCCUGAUGUCUUCGGAUGGAUUUGAGUAAGAGCAUGGCUGUUGGGACCCGAAA
RNAcentral lists this ribosomal RNA (773 nucleotides) under uncultured fungus. RNAcentral's name for it is "eukaryotic LSU rRNA". It matches the Rfam family "Eukaryotic large subunit ribosomal RNA", at positions 30 to 821 of the family's 3401-position model. The record is from RNAcentral. Lineage: Eukaryota; Fungi.